GCAUAUGUAGUGUAGUGGUUAUCACAGUUUUCUCACACACAACAGUUUCUCAGUUCGAUUCUGUGCAGGUGCC
Daphnia magna is the source of this 73-nucleotide transfer RNA. It matches the Rfam family "tRNA". From Rfam's summary of the family: Transfer RNA (tRNA) molecules are approximately 80 nucleotides in length. The record is from Rfam. Lineage: Eukaryota; Metazoa; Arthropoda; Branchiopoda; Diplostraca; Daphniidae.